AUUGAACGCUGGCGGCAUGCCUUACACAUGCAAGUCGAACGGCAGCACGGGUGCUUGCACCUGGUGGCGAGUGGCGAACGGGUGAGUAAUAUAUCGGAACGUACCUUAUUGUGGGGGAUAACGCAGCGAAAGCUGCGCUAAUACCGCAUAAUCCCUAAGGGGGAAAGCGGGGGACCGUAAGGCCUCGCGCAAUUAGAGCGGCCGAUACCUGAUUAGCUAGUUGGUGAGGUAAAGGCUCACCAAGGCAACGAUCAGUAGCUGGUCUGAGAGGCCGAUCAGCCACACUGGGACUGAGACACGGCCCAGACUCCUACGGGAGGCAGCAGUGGGGAAUUUUGGACAAUGGGGGCAACCCUGAUCCAGCAAUGCCGCGUGAGUGAAGAAGACCUUCGGGUUGUAAAGCUCUUUUGUCAGGGAAGAAACAGCAGCUCUAACACAGUUUGCGAAUGACGGUACCUGAAGAAUAAGCACCGGCUAACUACGUGCCAGCCGCCGCGGUAA
RNAcentral lists this ribosomal RNA (501 nucleotides) under uncultured bacterium. Its description in RNAcentral is "partial 16S ribosomal RNA". It matches the Rfam family "Bacterial small subunit ribosomal RNA", at positions 30 to 523 of the family's 1533-position model. The record is from RNAcentral.